RNAcentral lists this ribosomal RNA (405 nucleotides) under uncultured Eubacteriales bacterium. RNAcentral's name for it is "uncultured Clostridiales bacterium partial 16S ribosomal RNA". It matches the Rfam family "Bacterial small subunit ribosomal RNA", at positions 355 to 774 of the family's 1533-position model. The record is from RNAcentral. Lineage: Bacteria; Bacillati; Bacillota; Clostridia; Eubacteriales.
UUGGGAAUAUUGGACAAUGGGGGAAACCCUGAUCCAGUGACGCCGCGUGAAGGAAGAAGGUCUUCGGAUUGUAAACUUAUUUUAUCAGGGAAGAAAAAAAUGACUGUACCUGAAGAAGAAGGACCGGCUAACUACGUGCCAGCAGCCGCGGUAAUACGUAGGGUCCAAGCGUUAUCCGGAUUUACUGGGUGUAAAGGGCGAGUAGACGGCAUAAUAAGUCAGAUGUGAAAUCUUAGGGCUCAACCUUAAGACUGCAUCUGAAACUGUUAAGCUAGAGUGCAGGAGAGGAAAGCGGAAUUCCUAGUGUAGCGGUGAAAUGCGUAGAUAUUAGGAGGAACACCAGUGGCGAAGGCGGCUUUCUGGACUGUAACUGACGUUGAGGCGCGAAAGUGUGGGGAGCAAACA